AUUGAACGCUGGCGGCAGGCCUAACACAUGCAAGUCGAGCGGAUGAAGGGAGCUUGCUCCUGGAUUCAGCGGCGGACGGGUGAGUAAUGCCUAGGAAUCUGCCUGGUAGUGGGGGAUAACGUCCGGAAACGGGCGCUAAUACCGCAUACGUCCUGAGGGAGAAAGUGGGGGAUCUUCGGACCUCACGCUAUCAGAUGAGCCUAGGUCGGAUUAGCUAGUUGGUGGGGUAAAGGCCUACCAAGGCGACGAUCCGUAACUGGUCUGAGAGGAUGAUCAGUCACACUGGGACUGAGACACGGUACAGAAUCCUACGGGAGGGAGCAGGGGGGAAAAUUGGAGCAUGGGCGAAAGCCUGAUCCAGCCAUGCCGCGUGUGGGAAGAAGGUCGUCGGAUUGGAAAGCACUUUAAGUUGGGAGGAAGGGCAGUAAGUUAAUAACUUGCUGUUUUGACGUUACCAACAGAAUAAGCACCGGCUAACUUCGUG
Molecule: ribosomal RNA, 484 nt
Filed under: uncultured bacterium
Lineage: Bacteria
Description: partial 16S ribosomal RNA
Rfam family: Bacterial small subunit ribosomal RNA
Source: RNAcentral